UGGGGAAUUUUGGACAAUGGGCGAAAGCCUGAUCCAGCAAUGCCGCGUGUGUGAAGAAGGCCUUCGGGUUGUAAAGCACUUUUGUCCGGAAAGAAAUCCUUGGCUCUAAUACAGUCGGGGGAUGACGGUACCGGAAGAAUAAGCACCGGCUAACUACGUGCCAGCAGCCGCGGUAAUACGUAGGGUGCAAGCGUUAAUCGGAAUUACUGGGCGUAAAGCGUGCGCAGGCGGUUUGCUAAGACCGAUGUGAAAUCCCCGGGCUCAACCUGGGAACUGCAUUGGUGACUGGCAGGCUAGAGUAUGGCAGAGGGGGGUAGAAUUCCACGUGUAGCAGUGAAAUGCGUAGAGAUGUGGAGGAAUACCGAUGGCGAAGGCAGCCCCCUGGGCCAAUACUGACGCUCAUGCACGAAAGCGUGGGGAGCAAACAGGAUUAGAUACCCUGGUAGUCCACGCCCUAAAACGAUGUCAACUAGUUGUUGGGGAUUCAUUUCCUUAGUAACGUAGCUAACGCGUGAAGUUGACCGCCUGGGGAGUACGGUCGCAAGAUUAAAACUCAAAUGAAUUGACGGGGU
This 572-nucleotide ribosomal RNA is filed under the name uncultured bacterium. RNAcentral describes it as "partial 16S ribosomal RNA". It matches the Rfam family "Bacterial small subunit ribosomal RNA", at positions 355 to 919 of the family's 1533-position model. The record is from RNAcentral.